UACGUAGGGGGCAAGCGUUGUCCGGAUUUAUUGGGCGUAAAGAGCGUGUAGGCGGCUGGGUAGGUCCGCUGUGAAAACUCGAGGCUCAACCUCGAGAGGUCGGUGGAAACCACCCAGCUAGAGUCCGGAAGAGGAGAAUGGAAUUCCUGGUGUAGCGGUGAAAUGCGCAGAUAUCGUCAAGAACACCUAUUGCGUAGGCAGCUAACUAAGCUUUAACUGACGCUGAGGCACGAAAGUGUGGGGAUCAAACAGG
RNAcentral lists this ribosomal RNA (253 nucleotides) under uncultured prokaryote. Its description in RNAcentral is "partial 16S ribosomal RNA". It matches the Rfam family "Bacterial small subunit ribosomal RNA", at positions 524 to 776 of the family's 1533-position model. The record is from RNAcentral.